This is a ribosomal RNA of 634 nucleotides. The stretch from base 199 to 362 matches the Rfam family "5.8S ribosomal RNA".
UGGAAGUAAAAAGUCGUAACAAGGUUUCCGUAGGUGAACCUGCGGAAGGAUCAUAGUAAUCGUCUCUGACGCACUUGCUACCGUCCACCGGACGCUAAGACGCUCUGACGAAGAGGAUAACUCGUCCGCAGUGUUACCUCCGGGCACACGUUAAAGAUCGCUCUGYGUUGUGAGUCUCAAACCGUUGUAAAACACUACAACCGGUAGCAUUGGAUCCCUUGGCACGUCAUUCGAUGAAGACCGUUGCAAAUUGCGAUAAAGUGAUGUGAUGCGCAAGUCCACCACUUAUACGUGAAUCAUCGAGUUGUUGAACGCACUGCACCGCGCCCUAAUCCGGCUGCGGUAUGCCCCUUUGAGCGUCAUUGUUCACCUUCGUGAGCCGUUGUGCACCUGCACUCUGGCCCGAGUUCGGAGUCCUCGGUCCUCCUCUGGACCGUGUUCUCUUAGAUCCAGCACGCUAUGCAUCCUGGCGGGUUCUCUAAUGCCUGAGCGCAGAGACCCGUUCGCGUUGAGAGCGUUCCGACCGCGACGUGUGAGCGCGCGUCAGCAAGGCCCGCUUGCGGGUACUACACUACAUGACCUCAUUGGGGUAGGACAACCCGCUAGACUUAAGCAUAUCAAUAAGCGGAGGAAC